GACGAACGCUGGCGGCGUGCUUAACACAUGCAAGUCGUACGGUAAGGCCCUUUCGGGGGUACACGAGUGGCGAACGGGUGAGUAACACGUGAGUAACCUGCCCACAACUUUGGGAUAACGCUAGGAAACUGGUGCUAAUACUGGAUAUGUGCUCCUGCUGCAUGGUGGGGGUUGGAAAGCUCCGGCGGUUGUGGAUGGACUCGCGGCCUAUCAGCUUGUUGGUGGGGUAGUGGCCUACCAAGGCGGCGACGGGUAGCCGGCCUGAGAGGGUGACCGGCCACAUUGGGACUGAGAGACGGCCCAGACGCCUACGGGAGGCAGCAGUGGGGAAGAUUGCACAAUGGGCGCAAGCCUGAUGCAGCAACGCCGCGUGCGGGAUGACGGCCUUCGGGUUGGAAACCGCUUUCAGCAGGGACGAAGCUUUUUGUGACGGUACCUGCAGAAGAAGCACCGGCUAACUACGUG
Molecule: ribosomal RNA, 465 nt
Filed under: uncultured bacterium
Lineage: Bacteria
Description: partial 16S ribosomal RNA
Rfam family: Bacterial small subunit ribosomal RNA
Source: RNAcentral